AGACUUUGAUCCUGGCUCAGAUUGAACGCUAGCGGCAUGCCUUACACAUGCAAGUCGAACGGCAGCGGGCUCUUCGGAGUGCCGGCGAGUGGCGAACGGGUGAGUAAUACAUCGGAACGUACCCAGUAGCGGGGGAUAGCCCGGCGAAAGCCGGAUUAAUACCGCAUACGCCCUACGGGGGAAAGGGGGGGAUCGCAAGACCUCUCACUAUUGGAGCGGCCGAUGGCUGAUUAGCUAGUUGGUGGGGUAAAGGCCUACCAAGGCGACGAUCAGUAGCUGGUCUGAGAGGACGACCAGCCACACUGGGACUGAGACACGGCCCAGACUCCUACGGGAGGCAGCAGUGGGGAAUUUUGGACAAUGGGCGAAAGCCUGAUCCAGCAAUGCCGCGUGUGCGAAGAAGGCCUUCGGGUUGUAAAGCACUUUUGUCAGGAAAGAAAUUGUCUGGGCUAAUACCCCGGGCCGUUGACGGUACCUGAUGAAUAAGCACCGGCGUA
This 497-nucleotide ribosomal RNA is filed under the name uncultured Burkholderiales bacterium. Its description in RNAcentral is "bacterial SSU rRNA". It matches the Rfam family "Bacterial small subunit ribosomal RNA", at positions 8 to 500 of the family's 1533-position model. Lineage: Bacteria; Pseudomonadati; Pseudomonadota; Betaproteobacteria; Burkholderiales. The record is from RNAcentral.